UUUUUUUUAAUGGCACAAUUUUUUUUAUUAAUAAGAUCACAAAAGAAGUUCAAGAUGUACCCCUAAGGAAAAAAAAGAAAAACAAACAAGUAAGCCUGAUACAAUGCCAUAGACAUGAUUCUGUCAUAUGACCCUUGCCCCAAGUAAAUUGUGCCUGCAUGGUAACUGAACCAAAAUGAAUCAAAUUGUUGUAUAAACUCCAAUGAUCAAAAAGAGCAAAACACACAACUCAGGACUCCAAAAUGGUCAAUACUUGAAAAAGUUAAAUGGACAGGAAGGACCAUAAUGCAUUUGAAAAAGUACUGAUAAUGCAAUCCUCC
This 320-nucleotide long non-coding RNA is filed under the name Glycine max (soybean). RNAcentral describes it as "long non-coding RNA (GMAX_LNC003271)". The record is from RNAcentral. Lineage: Eukaryota; Viridiplantae; Streptophyta; Magnoliopsida; Fabales; Fabaceae.